GAUGAAGAACGUAGUGAAAUGCGAAAAGUAAUGUGAAUUGCAGAAUUCAGUGAAUCAUCGAAUCUUUGAACGCACAUUGCGCCCGCCAGUAUUCUGGCGGGCAUGCCUGUCUGAGCGUCAUUUCAACCCUCACGCCCCUAGGGCGUGGUGUUGGGGAUCGGCCAAGGCCCGCAAGGGACGGCCGGCCCCUAAAUCUAGUGGCGGACCCAUCGUGGCCUCCCCUGCGAAGUAGUAAUAUAUUCCGCAUCGGAUAGCGAUGAGCCCCUGCCGUUAAACCCCCAACUCUUUCAAGGUUGACCUCAGAUCAGGUAGGAAUACCCGCUGAACUUAAGCAUAUCAAUAAGCGGAGGA
This 351-nucleotide unclassified non-coding RNA is filed under the name soil metagenome. RNAcentral's name for it is "partial contains 5.8S ribosomal RNA, internal transcribed spacer 2, and large subunit ribosomal RNA". The stretch from base 1 to 120 matches the Rfam family "5.8S ribosomal RNA", at positions 35 to 154 of the family's 154-position model. The record is from RNAcentral.